UACAGAGGGUGCGAGCGUUGUCCGGAAUCACUGGGCGUAAAGGGCGCGUAGGCGGCUCGGUAAGCGUGCGGUGAAAGCCCGGGGCUCAACCCCGGGUCGGCCGUGCGAACUGCAGAGCUGGAGCACUGUAGAGGCAGGUGGAAUUCCGGGUGUAGCGGUGGAAUGCGUAGAGAUCCGGAAGAACACCGGUGGCGAAGGCGGCCUGCUGGGCAGUUGCUGACGCUGAGGCGCGACAGCGUGGGUAGCAAACAGG
RNAcentral lists this ribosomal RNA (253 nucleotides) under uncultured bacterium. RNAcentral's name for it is "partial 16S ribosomal RNA". It matches the Rfam family "Bacterial small subunit ribosomal RNA", at positions 524 to 776 of the family's 1533-position model. The record is from RNAcentral.